CUCUGGACAUUUGAUAUAACGCACUAAUCAAGCCUUAUAUUUUCAAAGUCACAUAAUUUAAUUCUUCAUAUUUAAUAAAGUCUUGCUCCCUGGCAAGUUUUCAUCUUGUACAUACAAAAUAUCAAGCAGGAAGCCAGUACCCUCCUAAAGUGCAACAGCAGAACCCACACAAAGAUUUUAACUUGCAUGAACCUAUGACCAACCAAAAAUAUAAUCAAGAACAUAGACCAAUGCCAGUGAGAAGGGAUAGAGGAGGUAAGCCAAUGAGGACGUCCAGAGAGGGAAUGUGUUGCGGAAACUGGCAAAAGCACCCAUCACAAUGCACACGAUGAAAAUAACCAGAACUUCAGAUGAAAAGUC
Molecule: unclassified non-coding RNA, 360 nt
Filed under: Hevea brasiliensis (rubber tree)
Lineage: Eukaryota; Viridiplantae; Streptophyta; Magnoliopsida; Malpighiales; Euphorbiaceae
Source: RNAcentral